Molecule: ribosomal RNA, 253 nt
Filed under: uncultured bacterium
Lineage: Bacteria
Description: partial 16S ribosomal RNA
Rfam family: Bacterial small subunit ribosomal RNA
Source: RNAcentral
UACGUAGGGGGCUAGCGUUGUUCGGAAUUACUGGGCGUAAAGCGCGCGUAGGCGGCUUUGUAAGUUAGAGGUGAAAGCCCGGGGCUCAACCCCGGAACAGCCUUUAAGACUGCAUCGCUAGAAUCCGGGAGAGGUGAGUGGAAUUCCGAGUGUAGAGGUGAAAUUCGUAGAUAUUCGGAAGAACACCAGUGGCGAAGGCGGCUCACUGGACCGGUAUUGACGCUGAGGUGCGAAAGCGUGGGGAGCAAACAGG